AAUACAAGAAAGACAAAUUAGAUUUUUUCUCCUGAUUUUCAACUUUUUCCUCCUGAAAAAUUCAAAUUCAACUAAAAAUGUUGAAAAUCAAGAGGAAAAAUCUGAUUUGUCAUUCUCCUAUU
Molecule: non-coding RNA, 122 nt
Organism: Gossypium hirsutum (cotton)
Lineage: Eukaryota; Viridiplantae; Streptophyta; Magnoliopsida; Malvales; Malvaceae
Source: Rfam